This 271-nucleotide ribosomal RNA is filed under the name uncultured bacterium. RNAcentral describes it as "partial 16S ribosomal RNA". It matches the Rfam family "Bacterial small subunit ribosomal RNA", at positions 87 to 354 of the family's 1533-position model. The record is from RNAcentral.
CCCGGCGACCGGCGCACGGGUGAGUAACGCGUAUGCAACCUGCCCGUUUCAGCGGGAUAACCCGGAGAAAUCCGGCCUAAUACCGCAUGUGGCCGAGGGGAGGCAUCUUCUUUCGGCCAAAGGAGGCGACUCCGGAGACGGAUGGGCAUGCGUGACAUUAGCUAGUUGGCGGGGUAACGGCCCACCAAGGCGACGAUGUCUAGGGGUUCUGAGAGGAAGGUCCCCCACACUGGUACUGAGACACGGACCAGACUCCUACGGAAGGCAGCAG